This 1690-nucleotide long non-coding RNA is filed under the name Dermacentor andersoni. Its description in RNAcentral is "uncharacterized LOC126543001". Lineage: Eukaryota; Metazoa; Arthropoda; Arachnida; Ixodida; Ixodidae. The record is from RNAcentral.
CUAAUCUUAGUUCAGGCUCCUCGGACAACAUAUUCAAUGAUCUUGCCUGCCUGCAGUAAAGAAGGCAUGUGAACAUUACAAGCUGGUGUGCUAUAGAUGCGCUAAUAAAGGCAGCUGUGUCCUUACAGCAUCUUUCAAAGUGCUAAACUGCCAUUCUUUGUUUUUGUUUUAAUUGCAAGAAGUGAGUAAAUCAAAUGUGUUCUUAUGCCUUGUUAAUGAACAUAACGGAAUGUUUAGAUUUGUACAAAAAGUAAAGAAGGCACAGAGUGCUUAUAUUACCCUUUCCACCAAUCAGUCAAUGCUUUAAUUAUGACCAAUUUUUAACUGCUUAAUCAUAAUAAACCACAAUAAGAUCAUUAAAGCUGGGAUGGUGAGUACUGAUUUGUUGUUUCAAAUAGGAUUUUAAAUAAAGAAAGAAGAAAGACAAUGCAGAGAAUGAGAACUACUACUGCUGCUGCUAUUGACCUUUUUCAAAGCAAUCACGUGGGCAUUGCCAUGUUUGAUCACGUAGUACCACAUCCACUGCAUGCCUCAGCUGCCUGUGUGUUUGCAAUGGGUGUACAUGAUCCAGGUGCAGCUCUGCAAACCUCUGUUUCGGCAGAUAUCGUAGACGGUGACUAGGUGGGUGACACACGAAGCUUUGGCUACAACUUCAAAGGACAUGUAAGCGCUUUCAGAGCUCAUUACGCUUUGUUCAAAUGGCACGAGUGGCAUAUACGGUGGUAGUAAUAAAAGCGGUGCUAAAAAUGUAUUCCAAGCUAUCCUAACUUUCCGCUUGUGAACUGAAUCAGUAUCAGUGUGUUUAGCUCUUCGUUCGUUAUUCGGUAGAUACAUUUAAGCAGCGGCUUGUCACGUUUCUGAAUCAGAAAAGUUUGCUGGGUGGUCAUUAUCUCAUUUUUUAUUUUUUGCCUGAUCGCUUACUAUAUGCCAAGAAGCAGCAUUUCUCCCUUUGUCACCGUAUAACAAGCGGUACUCACUCGUGCAGAUGAUCUGGUGUUCAUGUCCUUUCCUAAGAGUUUAGCACUACAAUGCUGGCAGAUGAGUGAAUUUUUUUUUAUCCAUAUGGGAAGCCACGCAACUCAGAGCUGGCAACACAGGCAGUCCUUAUGUAGCAGCGGUCCGUGAGAUUAGACACACAGAUUGAUUCCAUUCUUUAAUAUGCCAGUCACAAUUUUUCCAGCCAACUACUGCAGAUACCUUUCUUCACUCCACCGCUCCAUAUUUUGCAGCAUGAAUGGAGCACAGUGCAUUAGUGAAAACCCAGUUACAUCUACAACAGCUGAUCGCACAGAAGCAGGGCAGAAAAGGCCAUGAAAUGGUGCUGAUGAAAUGCCCCUGCAAGAAAGGCCAUAAUUAGGCAUUAUCACAAGCAUCUUCCAAACAGUCAGUGCAUAUACCACAGUCACAAGCUGCUUGGAAAGGCAAGGAAUGCUGGGCCAUCUUCUUGAGGAUACUGAACAUGGCUUCCAUUGAGUCUGGCUGCUCAUGACACAAGUGCAGCUGAAAAAAUAGUAAGGCAUACUGAUUACAAAGAAAGCUGGCUUUGCUGCUUGCGAAAGAGCACUGAGGUGAAGGUUUCUACGUUCCGAAUGAAAAGAACUGUGGAGGUUUUGUGCAGCAUUCGUUAAUGCAUUGACUCCUACAUGUUUUGUUACUGUGAUUGUGUGGGAAAAUAAAGCGCGUACGCCUU